UGCCAUGGGUACGCUCAGUAAGGAAUGAUGUGAUCCAAAAUAAAUAUAUCCAAUCGACCGCCAACAUAGUCACACGUUCGAACGACGCUGACGACGUCGAGAAUGGUCUUUUUCUAUAUAAGAUGACAAAAUUCUUUCCAGUUCCUUCAGUUUGACUCGACCCUAGGAGACGAUUUGUACGGUGAAAAAAAAAAAGCCAACAUGAAGUUUUUCGUGACGUUUGUUUGUCUGUUCGCCCUGGUACUAGCGAUCGCCUAUGGCAUGCCUGCCGUGAACGACGAAAGCAUUGUUGCUGCCCCCCUCGAUGCCGCCCUGAUGGCUGAAGCUGAAAACCCCGAGGAUCCACAGGGUAUUUUAAAACUGUUGCUGCUCAAAAAGAAACUGCUGCUUUUCGGAUAAAAACGGUUUCUAGGUUUAAAUGUUAAUCAUAGUGGUAUUGAUUAAAAGGGCUUGCAAUAAAAUUUCUUUUCUAUGAAACUUAUUUUUUAACGAA
Wyeomyia smithii (pitcher-plant mosquito) is the source of this 493-nucleotide long non-coding RNA. RefSeq lists it as uncharacterized. The record is from RefSeq and is a predicted model, not a curated record. The transcript has 2 exons. Lineage: Eukaryota; Metazoa; Arthropoda; Insecta; Diptera; Culicidae.